UUACAUGUUUCGGGUAGGAGC
Molecule: microRNA, 21 nt
Filed under: Caenorhabditis elegans
Lineage: Eukaryota; Metazoa; Nematoda; Chromadorea; Rhabditida; Rhabditidae
Description: cel-miR-246-3p
Gene: cel-miR-246-3p
Source: miRBase by way of RNAcentral